AGUGAACGCUGGCGGUAGGCCUAACACAUGCAAGUCGAACGGCAGCACAGUAAGAGCUUGCUCUUACGGGUGGCGAGUGGCGGACGGGUGAGGAAUACAUCGGAAUCUACUUUUUCGUGGGGGAUAACGUAGGGAAACUUACGCUAAUACCGCAUACGACCUACGGGUGAAAGCAGGGGAUCUUCGGACCUUGCGCGUUUGAAUGAGCCGAUGUCGGAUUAGCUAGUUGGCGGGGUAAAGGCCCACCAAGGCGACGAUCCGUAGCUGGUCUGAGAGGAUGAUCAGCCACACUGGAACUGAGACACGGUCCAGACUCCUACGGGAGGCAGCAGUGGGGAAUAUUGGACAAUGGGCGCAAGCCUGAUCCAGCCAUACCGCGUGGGUGAAGAAGGCCUUCGGGUUGUAAAGCCCUUUUGUUGGGAAAGAAAAGCAGCAGGUUAAUACCCCGCUGUUCUGACGGUACCAAAAGAAUAAGCACCGGCUAACUUCGUG
RNAcentral lists this ribosomal RNA (492 nucleotides) under uncultured bacterium. RNAcentral's name for it is "partial 16S ribosomal RNA". It matches the Rfam family "Bacterial small subunit ribosomal RNA", at positions 29 to 507 of the family's 1533-position model. The record is from RNAcentral.